CCGGAGCUUGCUCCACCGAAAGAAAAAGAGUGGCGAACGGGUGAGUAACACGUGGGUAACCUGCCCAUCAGAAGGGGAUAACACUUGGAAACAGGUGCUAAUACCGUAUAACACUAUUUUCCGCAUGGAAGAAAGUUGAAAGGCGCUUUUGCGUCACUGAUGGAUGGACCCGCGGUGCAUUAGCUAGUUGGUGAGGUAACGGCUCACCAAGGCCACGAUGCAUGAGCCGACCUGAGAGGGUGAUCGGCCACACUGGGACUGANACACGGCCCAGACUCCUACGGGAGGCAGCAGUAGGGAAUCUUCGGCAAUGGACGAAAGUCUGACGCGAGCAACGCCGUCGUGAGUGAAGAAGGUUUUCGGAUCGUAAAACUCUGUUGUUAGAGAAGAACAAGGAGUGAGAGUAGAACGUUCAUCCCUUGAUCGGUAUCUAACCAGAAAGCCACGGCUAACUACGUGCCAGCAGCCGCGGUAAUACGUACGUGGCAAGCGUUGUCCGGAUUUAUUGGGCGUAAAGCGAGCGCAGGCGGUUUCUUAAGUCUGAUGUGAA
This 550-nucleotide ribosomal RNA is filed under the name uncultured bacterium. Its description in RNAcentral is "bacterial SSU rRNA". It matches the Rfam family "Bacterial small subunit ribosomal RNA", at positions 73 to 598 of the family's 1533-position model. The record is from RNAcentral.